Molecule: ribosomal RNA, 253 nt
Filed under: uncultured bacterium
Lineage: Bacteria
Description: partial 16S ribosomal RNA
Rfam family: Bacterial small subunit ribosomal RNA
Source: RNAcentral
GACGGAAGGUGCAAGCGUUGCUCGGAAUCACUGGGCGUAAAGGGUGCGUAGGCGGGUCUUUAAGUCAGGGGUGAAAUCCUGGAGCUCAACUCCAGAACUGCCUUUGAUACUGAGGAUCUUGAGUUCGGGAGAGGUGAGUGGAACUGCGAGUGUAGAGGUGAAAUUCGUAGAUAUUCGCAAGAACACCAGUGGCGAAGGCGGCUCACUGGCCCGAUACUGACGCUGAGGCACGAAAGCGUGGGGAGCAAACAGG